RNAcentral lists this unclassified non-coding RNA (257 nucleotides) under uncultured fungus. Its description in RNAcentral is "sequence contains ITS1, 5.8S rRNA gene". The stretch from base 209 to 257 matches the Rfam family "5.8S ribosomal RNA", at positions 1 to 49 of the family's 154-position model. Lineage: Eukaryota; Fungi. The record is from RNAcentral.
UUUCCGUAGGUGAACCUGCGGAAGGAUCAUUAGUGAAUACAAACGCUUGGGUGUCUCUGCUUCGGCAAGCCCCUCGCAGCCCCUCGCACCCUUCACAUCCAUAACACCUGUGCACUGUAAGAUGACUCUAGGGCUUCGGCCUCUGGGUUGUCUGACCUUUUUACAAACUAUUAUAUGUAACAAAUGUAGUCUUAUUAUAACAAAAUAAAACUUUCAACAACGGAUCUCUUGGCUCACACAUCGAUGAAGAACGCAGC